AUAAUAUUAAAUAUUAAGCCGAAGACAGUAUGUGGGGCAACCCUUAAUUUCAUACCGAGGAUUGAAAUGUAUACUAGACUAUACACACUCCCUCUAUGUCUGCGGUGACAUUGAGGUUUUUUUAUUGAAAA
Regulatory RNA element from Alloiococcus otitis ATCC 51267, 131 nucleotides. It matches the Rfam family "Ribosomal protein L10 leader". Rfam says of the family: This family is a putative r-protein leader autoregulatory structure found in B. subtilis and other low-GC Gram-positive bacteria. It is located in the 5' untranslated regions of mRNAs encoding ribosomal proteins L10 and L12 (rplJ-rplL). The record is from Rfam. NCBI's taxonomy places the organism in Bacteria, Bacillati, Bacillota, Bacilli, Lactobacillales, Carnobacteriaceae.